Ctenopharyngodon idella (grass carp) is the source of this 356-nucleotide long non-coding RNA. RefSeq lists it as uncharacterized. NCBI's taxonomy places the organism in Eukaryota, Metazoa, Chordata, Actinopteri, Cypriniformes, Xenocyprididae. The record is from RefSeq and is a predicted model, not a curated record. The transcript has 3 exons.
CUCACUUGAGGUUCCUUCAGUUCACAAUUUGCAAAAUGUUUCAUGGACAAUGUCUCAGGCAGGAUGGACACACUUGAUCCUGUAUCAUCAAUCAAUUCAACCGGUAUUUUAUUUCCAUGUGGUGCUUCCAAUUCUACUUGGCAGCAAAUUUUGUCAGGAGACUGAUUUACAGGCAGCACAUGAUGACAUGUGGCAGACGCAGCAGGACAAGUGUGUGCAUUAGCCAAACAGUGAAGGAAGCUGCUGAGAUGUGCAAGGAACUAAACAUCCCUUUCCCUGAGGUCAACAUUCCCAGUGAAGAUGUAAAGAAACCGAAGGACUUCUAUGUGUUCAAAGGCCAAAGGCAACUUGUGGAG